GAUGAACGCUGGCGGCGUGCCUAAUACAUGCAAGUCGAGCGAACAGACGAGGAGCUUGCUCCUCUGACGUUAGCGGCGGACGGGUGAGUAACACGUGGAUAACCUACCUAUAAGACUAGGAUAACUUCGGGAAACCGGAGCUAAUACCGGAUAAUAUAUUGAACCGCAUGGUUCAAUAGUGAAAGACGGUUUUGCUGUCACUUAUAGAUGGAUCCGCGCCGCAUUAGCUAGUUGGUAAGGUAACGGCUUACCAAGGCGACGAUGCGUAGCCGACCUGAGAGGGUGAUCGGCCACACUGGAACUGAGACACGGUCCAGACUCCUACGGGAGGCAGCAGUAGGGAAUCUUCCGCAAUGGGCGAAAGCCUGACGGAGCAACGCCGCGUGAGUGAUGAAGGUCUUCGGAUCGUAGAACUCUGUUAUUAGGGAAGAACAAAUGUGUAAGUAACUAUGCACGUCUUGACGGUACCUAAUCAGAAAGCCACGGCUAACUACGUG
This 497-nucleotide ribosomal RNA is filed under the name uncultured bacterium. RNAcentral's name for it is "partial 16S ribosomal RNA". It matches the Rfam family "Bacterial small subunit ribosomal RNA", at positions 28 to 507 of the family's 1533-position model. The record is from RNAcentral.